Molecule: transfer RNA, 24 nt
Filed under: Papaver somniferum (opium poppy)
Lineage: Eukaryota; Viridiplantae; Streptophyta; Magnoliopsida; Ranunculales; Papaveraceae
Also listed under: 1 other name
Description: partial tRNA-Leu
Source: RNAcentral
AAAAUCCGUCGACUUUAUAAAUCG